Molecule: long non-coding RNA, 479 nt
Organism: Ictalurus punctatus (channel catfish)
Lineage: Eukaryota; Metazoa; Chordata; Actinopteri; Siluriformes; Ictaluridae
Source: Ensembl
GUUGGGGUGUCUCCUGUCAGCAUGCAGGAUUUCCUGGUCUCAUUCUUUAAUAGCUCUGUCAACUGUGUAAAGUUAAACGAGGGCGGGUGGUUUAGAAAGGUCUGCCUGAUUGAUCAGCAGCUGGAUCUUGCUUCACUGGACAGGUGUAAAUUAGCUGCUCAGACAUGCUGCUCAGAACAGGAUAGCCAUUGUUUGGUGUACCCCGCCUUGUCCCCCAUGCCCCCUGGGAUAGGGUCCAGGCUCCCCGAAACCCAGCAGGAUAAGUGGUAUAGAAAAUGGCUGGAUGGACUAUUUCACAGCAGCUUCUAAACCCCAAUACACAGAGAGCAUUUAGUAGACGUCCCAGCCACUGCUUAUGUGAUGAGCUAUAGCUUCAGUAAAUUAAAUAUUAUUGUCAGACUGGUUGUAAGAGCAUAUUGGGGACACAAGAACUCAUGUUUUUCACAGCACCUGUUCACACAUGUACAUCUGGCCCUGAA